UUUUUUUUUUUUUUUUUUUUUCUGUUUGUUUGUUUUUGUUUUUGUUGUUCUGCCCAAUGUGAGUUUUGGGCCCAUCCUGGGGCAGCCCUUAGCUCUCCCUGGCUGCUGCACACUCGGUGUGGUUCUGGGAUGUCACCAUGUGGUCAGUGCCAUCUGGGGUCUACAGGUACUUGCAUGUGUGACUUCAGCAACUGGUUCAUAAAUCUUCCCAAAUACAUCUUGUAUCAAAAGAAAAAUGCUGUGUUGUACUGCAGAGACUGUACCUGGCACACAGUGUUAGUGUUUUUAUCUUGUGCAUGAAUGUACAGUGGGAACAACUUAAUAGUGGGAACAACAAGAGAAAUUCCUGUGUGUCAGAAAAGAGGCUGACCCUGAUCAUCUUUGUGGACAUACAUUCCAAAUCUGUCUUUUUUUCCUAGGACCUAGUGUUUAACUUCCCUCAUUGUAAAGCUCUUCUGAAUGAUCGCAAUUCUCUAUUGAUACGACACAAAUGGUUACAGGAGAUUUUCACAACCUCUUGAUAAUGAAAUCUCUUAGUUUGCUGUGUCAAGAGGAUUUGUCAGUGUGAUGUUUCUGUGUCCUGUUGUCUAAGGAUGCAUUAUCUUCUCCCACUGCAGAAGUGAUUGCUUCUUCCAGAGGGUAAGUUCACAUUGCCAUCUGCUUCUGGCAGGGACUUGUUUCUCCCCAAAUACCAAACAGGAUUUCUCUCAAGUCUGUCAAGUACUUGAGCCUUUUUUUCCCAUGAAAGUUAUAACUAUCAAAAUCAGACCAGUUGAUGAAAAGGCUGUAUCCUGCUAUCUUUUGGGAACUUUGCUAUUUAAUGUUUAUUUUUACAAUGUGCUUCUGGUUUAGUUUUUUUUUUUUUUAAUUGUCUUUAAUACUUAGUAUUAUUUACAGGUUAAUGUUCAUUUGCUUUAUUCCAAUCCUUUUACCUUCUGUAGGUUGAGGCCACUUUUGUUUAUUUCUCCUUUUAUUCUCUUCCAGCACAGAAAAGAUAUCAAAUAAAGCCAGUUCCAGAUGGUAUUUUCCAGUCCUGCAUUAACCCUAUGGCUUUACAGUUGAACCCUGCAGUGAAUUUCACACAAAGUUGAUACUUCUCCUUUUGUACUGCCAUGUCUGUAACCAUUUCUGUGCUGCAAACCUUCAGCCUGCAGAUGACUCACAUGGCUCCAGCCAUGAUGCAGGAAUGUGUCUCAUAGCCACAUCCUUUCCCAGAAACAACAAUCACUGGACUUCUUGAACUCUGAGGGCAACUAUGAGAUGUUGGGAUGGAGAAAGGCAGUAGUAUUUCUCUGUAUGAGCAGUGCUAGAACAGUUUCAGGAGCAUGUGACAUGGAUGUCAAAACAGUCCCUGGUUGUACUGUUCCUCAUAGUUCUACACAGACCUCACAAAACACAGUACAGAUCCCCACUGAGUGAUUCUGGGCAGAAAUGUAACAAUUACUGGUAAAUCCAAUUCAGUCCUUCUGCUGGGCUGGUGGCCUGUGUGGAUGCUUUUGUUGUGGAAUAAAGGCAUCACUGUUUUUUCAUUUGUUUUAAACUCAUUUUAGCAUGGCAUAAGCUAAACCAGAAAAAUCCCUGUGUGUCAGAAAAAUAGGUUGACCCUGAGCAUUGCAUUAGUGGGACAACAGCAGUUUGAGCUCACGCUGUGGCUUGCCAUUGCUCUGCUCCUCUGUGUAAGCUGGUCUUUGAACUGGUGACAAGACCUAGUCCAGCUUAGCUGCUUGUCUGGGGUUAUGGGGUUGGCAGUAUUUUCCUCCCUUCCUCACUUGUUGGAGAAAGAUCAGAGAAGGACCACUACGAUGAUUAGAGGAGCGGAGCACCUCCGUGUAUGAGAAAAUGCUAAGAGAAUUGGGAUUGUUCAGCCAAGAGAUGAGAAUAGCCUGUGGUGACCUUAUUGUGGUCUUCAAGUACCUGGAGAAAGUUGAAAAGAACGAUGGAGAGAAAUUUUAUACCAAGGGCACAUAGUGACAGAACAAAGGGGAUUUAGGUUAGAGUUAGGUUUGGAUGAGAAAUUAGUAGGAAAUUCUUUACCGCCAGGGUGGUGAGGCACUAGAACAGGUUGCUUAGAGAAGUUGUGGAUGCCCCAUCACUGACUUUGUUCAACGCCAGGUUGGAUGGGGCUUGGAGCAACCUGGUGUAGAGGAAGGUGUCCCUGCUUAUGACAGGGGAUUGGAAGUAGAGGAUCUUUUAGGUCUUGUCCAACCCAAACCAUUCUAUGAUUUGAUGAUGACAAUGAUACAAAGCAAAACCAAGAGGAAAAGAAAGCAGCAAGCUCUGUAUCUCUGGAGAUGUUGGGGCAAGAAUAUCAAUGCUCCUCUGCCAUAUAUGGGCACAUCUCAAGGAGAAACAAGAAACAAUAAAUCCUCUGUCUCUCAAAGCUAUUUUUCUUUUCAUCCUGCACUUCUACAUCGUUGACUGUAUUCUUAGCACUUGUUCCCAGUGAUGGAGCACUCUGCCUACCACCUCUCUCCCCUAAUUUUGCUCUUUCUUCCACAACCUCUGCCUUUGCAUCAGGGAUGCAACCCCUGAAGUAGAACAGGAGAAAAAUCUUGCUGGUGGGAAGGGUGCUGGCACUUUGUUGUUUUCUUCCCAGAAAAACCUUCUGGGAUACAUCCAAGAUAAUAUCAUGUGCCAUUUCUGUUAUCUUGAGUGUCUUUCAUGUUAAAAAAGCUGUCCUCAGGCUGAACCUGCAGCUCCCAGGUUUCAUUAAAAUGAUAACAGUGUUCACAUAAAGUCGCCUUUUCUCUGGUUGCUACCUGUGCUGGAGCAGUGCCAGACAGGUGGAUAUCCCUCUCUGAGUGCAGUUACGGUGCUUGGGAAGGUGACCCUGGCACAAAAGAAAGCCAGCCCUGGCAGCUUCUGUGCUGUGGCAGUUGUUGUAUUAUUGCCUCAUCUUUGCUAUUAUAAUUUCUUUGCAGAACAACAGCUACAGAGAGAUGGAUUUUGUUUCAUGCAGUCCCGGGCCUUGUAGUCUGUUUUCCUAAGGAAGUGAAGCUCCUGCUGUCUCACUGUGCGCCCACACCAGUGUGUGCAUCCUUCACUUCAUCCCCUGGUGACUGCUGAACACAUUGGGCAACUCCUACCAAGCCUGCAGACAGGUGUUGAGAGUUGCCUUGUCUCAAGACCAAGUCAAACAGGCACAGCCACCCAGAACUAGUUGGUCUGUGUGAAUGAAGGAAGAACCAGCAAUCUCCUUUUUCCAGGCUCUUCCCAGGAAAAGCCUGACAGGUCACCAUGCAGGCAGUGUUGUGGAUACCUUGGCUGUAUUCUAAGCAAGCUGGAGCUACCAUUUUAAAACCUUCUUCUGAUUCAUGAAGACUAUGAAAUAACUGGUCCCCCAUGUGUCCACGGAGGCACAGCUCUGUCCUGGCUGCAUGUAGUCUCAUACUGAAGGUCUAGGUAUAAAGCUAAUGCAUUCAUAAAGAGACCCUGGGAAGAAAUGCUUGUAUUUUUUAGGAGACAAAAUCUUGUACACUUUUUUUUAAAAUAGGUGUUUUUUCCUCUUUGUUCAGACCACAUUAUAUUGCCUUUCAGGGUGGGAUUAACUGACAAAACCAGCCUAACCCAAGAGCCUUGACCACAAACCCUGGGAAGGAAAUGAGGUUUUGCCAUAGCUAUUUCCUUGCUACCUGCACCCAGAGACAAGAUACUGUGGUGAAAUGUUUACUGUCCUUACUCAGUCAGUAGUUGAGGGUAGAAGUCCAGAUCUAGCAGAGAAAAUAGGUGUCUCCCACACAUUUAUCUCCUGAUGAAGAGCAGAGCCAUCAGCUAGUCCCUGUGGCUCUCUAGAUUGUGCAUGGGGACAGAGAAGUGCCUCCAAACAUGCAAAUCCACAACAUCCUCCUCAGAAACCACAGCCACAGAAAACAGAGAGGAAAAUACAAAGGAGUAAAUCUUAGUUCCUGUUUGUCUCCAGGAGGGGAGAGACUAUCUUUGUGUCACAGAGAGCCACCUUGUUCCAUUCAGGAUAGGCAGCUUGUCCUCAUUUCCCCUAAAUGGAUACCAAGGUGUUUUUUGGGAACUGGCAAAGGAAAAUCACCCUUUGAAGCUAAGCAGCUGGCAGGUGUUUUAUCCUUUUUUCCAAAAAUAAUGCCUGUUAAAAGCUCUCUUCCAUGGCAUGAGAGACCCAGAUCCAGUUAUUGUCAUUUUCAGUGAGGAUCGACACAGACUCUUUCCAUUUUCCACAACAAUGUUGGGACCAACAGGCAAUUAACUAUUGUGAGGGGAGGGCUGGGGAAGCACUUUUGGUCUUUCCUGCUAAACUCAGUCCAUUCUUGCAUUUUCACCAUUGUGUCUGUGGGCUGAUUUAAUGUCAUUUUUGCUGUAAAGGAUAUUUUUGAUUUGGAAUGAAAAUUUUGAUGGAAAAAAUGCCAAUCCUAUUGACAAAUUUUCACCUCCUAGCAGCAGACUAGUCAGUAAUGAAAUUUUCAUUUUAUUAAGAGACCUCAAUGUCAUUUUUAUUAUGAGUGAAAAGAAAAAUACAUGAGAUUUAUCUUUUGUGUCUCAUUUCCAGCCUUAGGGAGAGAAUGUAUCCAGAAGCAACUUUAACUAUCAGUAAAGAAAAAGAGUUAUUUGAAUGUGUUGCAUUAGCUAAUUACUGUUACCUUCUGUGUAUGAAAAAAAAUCUGCAAAGAAUGGGAGAAUUUUGUCAGUGAAGUUUAGCUUUGUAAAAUUUAUGACUACAGAAUUCAAUAAAAUCA
Molecule: long non-coding RNA, 4703 nt
Filed under: Taeniopygia guttata (zebra finch)
Lineage: Eukaryota; Metazoa; Chordata; Aves; Passeriformes; Estrildidae
Description: lncRNA (ENSTGUG00000027152.1)
Source: RNAcentral